Small nuclear RNA from Cricetulus griseus (Chinese hamster), 107 nucleotides. Lineage: Eukaryota; Metazoa; Chordata; Mammalia; Rodentia; Cricetidae. The record is from Ensembl.
GUGCUCGCUUCGGCAGCACAUAUACUAAAAUUGGAACGAUGCAGAGAAGAUUAGCAUGGCCCCUGCACAAGGAUGACACACAAAUUUGUGAAAUUUUUACAACAGAA